Molecule: ribosomal RNA, 1029 nt
Filed under: Triticum aestivum (bread wheat)
Lineage: Eukaryota; Viridiplantae; Streptophyta; Magnoliopsida; Poales; Poaceae
Description: partial small subunit ribosomal RNA
Source: RNAcentral
AUGCUCAUGCACACACUCAUAUGGCCACAAGGCCCAUACGGACACAUCCAUCCUGCUUCACGGCUACUAGUGCCAAGAGCACUCACGCACACACUUGUGCUCACACACACACAUGAAGCUAGCAGCCUCCGGCUCUUUUCCGUAAUAUACAGCUCUAGGAGCAACUCUGUACUGUCACAUAUAUAUACCACACUCGGUAGGACUAGUGGUGUUAUCUCUCCGGAGAGCCUUGAACCUGGGUAUAUCUUGCGUCCCGCGCUCGCUCAUGCCGACCUCGCCUCUGGAGCCCACCAGUGCCCUCGAGCCUCCUCCUAUCUUCAGCCAUCCCAUGGCAUCUGCCGCGCCCACCACGACAGUUGGCACCCACCGUGGGGCAGCUCGAGGUCCUGGCCGGAAGCAUGUUCCAGACGGGGCUCCCCUCCAACUCCGACGAGCCUGUCAAGCUGCCCCGGAACCGCGGUCCAGGCGGGACAAUCUUCAUCAUCACCGUGGUGUAGCGCUGUCACUCCGGUAGCGCUCGGAGGUUCGACAUCAACACGCCUCCGGGGCAACCGCACGGGACGACGCGUCCCCGUCGUCAGUCUUGUCAUUUUCUUCAUCAUCACCGCGGCGUCGCGCCGUCACUCCGGUAGCGCUCGGGGGCUCGACAUCAAGACGCCUCUGGGCGACCGCACGGGACGACGCGUCCCCAUCAUCGGCCUCGCCAUUUUCGCUGUCAUCACCGCCACGAUGUCGUCGUCGUCGUCUCUUCGGCCGCGCUCGGGGGCUCUCCAUCAACACGCCCCCGAGGCGGCCGCGCGGGAACGCGCGUCCUCGUCGGCGACCUCGGCUCCGUCGGCCUCAGCUCUCUUCUCUGCGGACGUUCUGCAUCGUGCGCUUCACCAAUUCCAAGCGAGCAUCCGCAGCCUCGCGCCCUGCCGUCCAAGCGACUGCAGCGCUUCUCCGCCUCGCCAUCGGGCUCGCGGGACGCCCGUCCUCGCAGUCUCAGGCUCACCGGCGCAAGUUCCUCUCUUCUCGCUGCCCAUAUAA